UAUAUUCAAAAUGGUGAUUGCUGAAGUAUCAUCUGCUCUAUGGCUGGAAAGGAACUCACGGAUAUUUGAGAAUACUUUUCGUAACAGUGAAGUCUUAGUAAGGGAACUAGCUUAUAUAUGUAAUGCUAGAGGUACUCCUAGAACUAGAAAGCAGAUGAAGUUGUUGUUGUUGUUGUUGUUGUUGUUAUUAUAACAUAAGAGAACUAGCUUAUAUAUGUAAUGUUAGAGGUACUCCUAGAACUAGAAAGCAGAUGAAGCAAUUCAAGUUAUAGUAUAUGAGUAGUUAGUUUUCUGAUACGGGUAGUUAGUUUUCUGGAUUAG
Molecule: long non-coding RNA, 321 nt
Filed under: Nicotiana benthamiana
Lineage: Eukaryota; Viridiplantae; Streptophyta; Magnoliopsida; Solanales; Solanaceae
Description: long non-coding RNA (NBEN_LNC015504)
Source: RNAcentral